Molecule: unclassified non-coding RNA, 334 nt
Filed under: soil metagenome
Description: partial contains 5.8S ribosomal RNA, internal transcribed spacer 2, and large subunit ribosomal RNA
Rfam family: 5.8S ribosomal RNA (bases 1-120)
Source: RNAcentral
GAUGAAGAACGCAGCGAAAUGCGAUAAGUAAUGUGAAUUGCAGAAUUCAGUGAAUCAUCGAAUCUUUGAACGCACAUUGCGCCCGCCAUUAUUCUGGCGGGCAUGCCUGUUCGAGCGUCAUUUCAACCAUCAAGCCCCCGGCUUGUGUUGGGGACCUGCGGCUGCCGCAGGCCCUGAAAUGCAGUGGCGGGCUCGCUGUCACUCCGAGCGUAGUAGUUACAUCUCGCUCUGGGCGUGCUGCGGGUUCCGGCCGUUAAAAGCCUUAUUUACCCAAGGUUGACCUCGGAUCAGGUAGGAAGACCCGCUGAACUUAAGCAUAUCAAUAAGCGGAGGA